Molecule: ribosomal RNA, 252 nt
Filed under: uncultured bacterium
Lineage: Bacteria
Description: partial 16S ribosomal RNA
Rfam family: Bacterial small subunit ribosomal RNA
Source: RNAcentral
UACGGAAUGUGCAAACGUUAUUCGGAAUCACUGGGCUUAAAGAGUCCGUAGGCGGCAUGUUAGGUGAGGUGUGAAAUCCCCCCGGCUCAACCGAGGAAUUGCGCUUCAUACCGGCGUGCUAGAGGAAGAUAGAGGUGGGCGGAACUGAUGGUGGAGCGGUGAAAUGCGUAGAUAUCGUUUGGAACGCCAAUGGUGAAAACAGGUAGCUGGAGUGUGCCGGACGCUGAGACACGAAAGCCGGGAGCGAACGGG